GUUGUAUUCUUUUGCAAAUGGUAUGCCCUCAUGGGGGUAAUUCUCAUUCCUUUGGCAGUGCUGGCAUGGAGUCUCUAUGUCCCAGUGUGGCUGCGCGUGCAGUCCCUGGGGGGACGCUGAGCGGCUGGUGUGCGGUCCCUGGGGUCCAGUGGGGCUGCUGAGUGGCUGGCAGAGAGGGAGCAGUGAUUUCCCUGCUCAGCUCCCUUGCCUCUUAGUGAUGCCAGAGUAGUGUCAUAUUCCGGC
Non-coding RNA from Pelobates cultripes (western spadefoot toad), 243 nucleotides. The record is from the annotation of a GenBank genome assembly. NCBI's taxonomy places the organism in Eukaryota, Metazoa, Chordata, Amphibia, Anura, Pelobatidae.